CUCCUUCUUCUUCUUCCUCUCAUAGAUUUGCGGCAGACAACAUGCCUAGCGGCCCCUUGCUUCCUCCCACAGGUAUUAGCUGCCGUGCAUCAUUCCCUUCCAAACCAACAUGGGAGGCACCUUUUUAUAUACAGUCAAUGAAUGGCACCAAAGAAACCCCACUGAGUCCUUAGCCUGACCUAUGAGUCUGACCCAAUCCCUAACCUGACCCCUAGGCUAAGUGUCACCUAUUUAAUAUAUAUGCCUAUAAGUUCUGCUGAAAAGACUGAAACCCUCACAGACAGUUGUUUGAAUAAUUUCACUGGAACUUAAAUAAACAGAUUUUUCCAGUUUAUUCUGAUCUGUUUAUAUUUGAAGAUAAUGUCACCACUUGUUCUCAGCCCCCCCUUUAGCAUAUCCACGUAAGCAGUAGGCCUAUUAUCAUGUUAUCAUCAUGUGUUUCUGUAGUGGGCAAAUCCACAGUGAUAUAAUUGGCCAGUAAAUCAAAGGGGCCACCCCUACGUCUCCAUGCUCCAGCUUCACCUCUUUACUAAUCUUGAAAAUGAAACACCUUCUUUCCUGAUCCCCUGCACUUUCAAAAACUAAUUUUGCUCUACGCUCUCCUUGAUGACCCCUUAGUUUAUACUGCAUUGCUAUUCCACCAUGGUACACUUAUUUUCCUGUUAGGGUUUUGUUUUAUAGGAAUGCAUUCAUAUGCAUUGUGCAAGACCAUUGCACAUAUGCUGUUAUUUGAUUCAUCUGUACUUCUGUUCCCAUUUACACUAUCAUGGUCUUUAUCAGAGAAUUGCUCCAAACUUGCUUUAAUGUAAUCAAAGUGUCUUUUUUGCUCUUUUGAUAACAUGGUUUCCCCAAAUCUCAACAGUAUUGGAGUGAUCACUGCCCAUUGUGUUCUCAUCCAUGAAGACCCAUUCUCCAGCCUGCAAUCAUCUACUAAUCCAUAUCUAUUAAAUCCAUUAUGUGUGUGUGUGUAAUAAUAAAUGGAGAAAUAGGGAGGAACCAGUAGCUUGGGCAGCAGCGUAAAAUGACAAUGUAGUUUCUUUUUUCUUUCUUUCUUUUUUUACUGUAUUACAUUAUAUAUUUCUUGUAAUGUUACUUUUUGUACUAUUUACAUCCCUGUAUACACCUCUGACCAAAUUAAUUUACUGAAAAAUAAAGUUGUUUUGAUUAUGUCUA
This is a long non-coding RNA of Micropterus salmoides (largemouth bass), 1173 nucleotides long. RefSeq lists it as uncharacterized. The transcript is spliced from 2 exons. The record is from RefSeq and is a predicted model, not a curated record. Lineage: Eukaryota; Metazoa; Chordata; Actinopteri; Centrarchiformes; Centrarchidae.